Lontra canadensis (Northern American river otter) is the source of this 107-nucleotide small nuclear RNA. NCBI's taxonomy places the organism in Eukaryota, Metazoa, Chordata, Mammalia, Carnivora, Mustelidae. The record is from RefSeq and is a predicted model, not a curated record.
GUGCUGGCUUUGGCAGCACAUACACUAAAAUUGGAACAAUACUGAGAAGAUUAGCAUGGUCUCUGUGCAAUAAUGAUAGGCAAAUUCGUGAAGGGUUCCAUAUUUUG